This is a long non-coding RNA of Neofelis nebulosa (Clouded leopard), 5115 nucleotides long. RefSeq lists it as uncharacterized. Lineage: Eukaryota; Metazoa; Chordata; Mammalia; Carnivora; Felidae. The record is from RefSeq and is a predicted model, not a curated record. The transcript has 2 exons.
AGACGCUGCCCAUUCUCCACGUUGCUACUUGGUUUUUCUACAUUCUUUUGUCUCUGGGCUUUCUUGAUAAAACAUUGUUCCGCUACUUUUCCUACUUCAAAGUGUGUCACAGACUGUUUUGCUUUCAACAGGGAGUUUAAGUAAACUUGGCUGUUGUUUUGAAAUAUUCUGUCACGGUAUGCUGUACCCACCGCAAGCAUGAUACGAAUGCUACUGACAAAAAAGAGGAGAUGCUUUGAAAGUGCUGAGAAAAAUCCCAGCCUUAAUGACUGGAGUGGACAAUGGCCAUCAACCGAACAGUAUCAACCCUGUUGAAACCUUUCAGAUUUGUACUCUUUGGCAAUGGCGCCCCCUAGAGACCAACAGUUGAUGAUACACCAUCGUUUAUUACCCCUGACGCUACCUGAAUCCCAAGUCGUUCUCAGCUAAAGUAUACCACAAAAUAUACUUGAAAAUUGGUGAAACCAAUACCGGUUGGGCAAAGGUUUCUAUAUGCCUUUGUUCAAAUAGCUGAAAUUUUGUCUAUCUGUACACGCUUAAGAAACUCGAUACCUUUCAAAGGUACUACCUGAGUAAACAGCAACAGGCAGGAUACAAGUAUUUGGUAGCUAUUGGAUUGGUGAAUUAGUACAAUGAGAGAUCCAAACUCAGUUACGCAGAGGAUCCAGGAAUCACGGUUGCUGAGUGAAGCAGUCAACAAGGCCUGCUUUUCCAGAUCUUCUGAUCUACAGGGAAGCAAGAAUUUUAUGUGAACACCAUAGUAUUUAAAAUGUAUAUGGAUUAUGUGAAAUUCUUGUAUUUUUAAUGUUGGCAGUUAGUAUCAGACCAUGCUCUCUCUGUAUUCCUUAAAACUGCCUUUGACUUCUGAAUUUUAUAUCAUCAGAUUAUAUCGCUCACUGUUCUUCACCAUUGCUGUCAUCCACUGCUCUCCCCCACCUUAAUUCUUCCCUCUCAUUUUUAGACUAUAUAGCUCCUGCUCACUGCAAUUCUCUCCAAUACUAGCCCUAUCUUAUUUGAUGAUUUGAAAUCUAUGUAGAGUAGAUGAUGAUCUUUCCAAUACCCUGUCCUGUGAGUUCUUUGACCGAUCCUCCUCCAGUAAUCUUAUUCUCCACCCUAUUUCAGCCACUCACUCCCAUGAUCAUUCCCUAGAACUUGUCAUUAUCGACUGUGCCCCUUCUGUAAUUUCUAUUUCAUGAAUCCACUCUCAGACCACAUCUCCUGUCCUUCCAGUGCAUUCCCUGUAGUGCUCUGACCCCAACAAUUCUUCCCCCCGCCCCACCUUCCCACCCCCGUAGUUUACCAAAUCCAAAAUCUUGCCACCUCUUCUCUGGCCCCACCCUCUUAAUGUCCUUACUUCUCUCUUUAUCCAUAAAAUCCACACUCAAUUUUUCUAAUCCCUCUCACAUAUGCUCUCCAUUCUCUUGCUCCUCUUUGGCUUUGUUGAGCUGCCUUGGCAAAUCUACCCUCCUGAUCAGAUACAAUUUUCUAAUUUUUGGCUCUGCCUCCCCUGCACCAGAAUGUAGCUGGAGGUGGAGUGGGGAAUAAAAACCCUGUUAAUUGGACCCAAUUUAAAAUCAAAGCCAUGACUUUCAAAUGGGUCCUUUAUGCUUCCAGGUUGUCACACUAAGUGCCCUUUGUUCACUUACUCUUCGGGUCCCCUUGACAACUAUUCUAUGCCUUCUCUUUUCCCAACUCCGUUUACCUUCUUCUCCACCCUUCUGCGCAGCCAAUGAUCUUGAGAGUAUUUAGUGAAAGUACUGAAGUAUCAGAAAAAAACAUCCACAGACUCUCAGCACCAUCAGCAGCACCACAUUUAUCUGCCCACCAGCAUCUGUAGGGACAUACACGCCCUCCCUCCUUUUCCAUUAGUCAAUUAGUAGGCUCCUAUCUAAGUCUAAUCCCUUCACUAGUGCAUCUGAUCUGAUCUCCCGUCUCCUAUUCAAAGAUGUCAGGGCAGCCGUUCUCGCUCGCAGCUACACCAUCAAUUUCUCACUCUUUGCUGGAUUAAUUCCAUCGGCAUACAAAUAUGAUGUUAUUUUUCCAUCUUAAACCAAAAAAAUUUGAUAUGAUUUCCCCCCUUUGAUGCCAUAAUUACCCCCAUUUCUUUACUCCUUUUUGUAGUAAAGAGUUGAAUCUUCUACCUCCAACUUUUCUCCUCUAAUCUUCUCUUAAACCAACUCCUAAGCCACUCCUCCUACCUUACUCCACUGAAAUGGCUCUCAGGGUCAUCUAUGUCCACAUCAUUGCUAAAUAUAACAGUCAAUUUUCAGGCCUCAUCUUACUCAACCUAUCAGUAGUUUUUCUGUUUUUGGUUUUUUUACAUUUAUUUUGAGAGAAAGAGUGAACACGUAAGCAGGGGAGGGGCAGAGGAAGAGGGAGGGAGAGAAUCCUAAGCAGCCCCACAUGUGGGGCUCAAUCUCACCAAACCGUGAGAUCACAACCUGAGCCAAAAUCAAGAGUCAGAUUAACCAACUAAGCCACCCAGGUGCCCCAACCUAUCAGUAGUUUUUGACAAAGGUGAUCCCUCCCCUCCUUCUUGGACACUUUCUUUGUUUUCCAAAUUCUCUUUUUAGCCUACUUCACUGGUCACUCUUCAGCUUCCUGUGCUGUCCCUUCUCUUCUUCCUUAACUCUUAAUGUUGGAGUGCCCCAGGGUUCAGUUCAUAGUUCUCUCUAUGUACACCUACUCCGUUGAUGAUCUCAACCAGUUUCGAGGCUUUAAAUACCAUCUAUCUACCAAGGACUGCCAAAUGUAUAUGGUUAGCCCAGACCUCUCCCUUAAACCUAAGACUCAUGUCCAAAAUUGAACGCUUGAUCCUGUCUCCCGAACCUGUUCUUCAACAUUCUUCCCCAUCCAGGUCACUCUAUCCUUCCAGCUGCUUGAACCAAAAGCUAGAGAGUCAUCCUCGACUCCCCUAUUUCUUCACAGCCCAUGUUCAACCCACUAGCAAACCCUGUUGACUCUAUUCAAAAUAUAUUUAGAAUCACACUUUUCUCCACCUCCACAACUGCCAGCCUGGUUUGAGCCAUCAUCAUAUCCUGUUUGGUUUACUGCAGUUGUCUUCUAACUAAAGUAGCUUCCACUGUUACAAUCUAUAGACUGUCCUCAACACUGCAGCCAGAUUCAUCCUUUUAAAUCAAAUCUGACUAUCUGAUUAUUUGACUAUGUCAACUAAAUCUAUUUAGAAGCCAACAAUGGCAUCUAAUUUGGGUCAGACUAAAAGUCAGACUCUUUGUAUGAUCUGCACUCUCUCUCCUCCCACUCUGCUGUCACCUCUGGUCUUAUUCCCUUGUUCAUUCUGCACUACCACACUGCCUUCUUGUCGGUCUGUGAACACACUAGGCAGAGUCCCACAUCGGAACCUUUGCGCUUGCUAUCCCCUUGCCUACUAUGCUCUUCCCAUCUUGCUGCAGUCUACCCUGCCCUCUGUAUUUGAAAUUGCACUCAGACUCAGGCUGGCGUGUGACUGCAACAGCCAAUAACAUAUGGCUUGGGGUACCAGAUCUCAUUCAGAUUUCUCCUUCUGGAUCUGAACAGGAACAUGUGGCAGCUCUGGCCAUUUCUGGAACCAUUUUGCAACCACAUGGAGCCAAAUGCAUCCUGAUACACUGAACAGACAUUUGGUGAUACUUCCUAUUUUGUUGAUGGCCCGUAAAACUGUGGGAAGAAAACUGACCUCUGUCCAAAACUGGAGUUCAAAUGUAUACAGCUAUAUCUGUGAAAUGUCAGAUGGGCAUGGAAACUGGACGGUAGAGGGAGACAACCGGGCCCCUGAGAGAAAGUAAGUGUUGGUAGAGAACGGUUCCGACGGCACAGACAGAAGCAGUAUGAAGUUCCAGAAGCCCAUGACACUAACACUGAAAUCCACACAAACCCAGACCCUGAACUGCACCCUGCCCACCCACUCCCAGCAUACGUGCUUCUGGCAAAGAGAGGGCUGCGGUUAAACCUAAAACUGUCUCACUGUGUGACUUCAUCUUUUGCCACGGGAACUUUUGCCUCCCCAACUCUGCCCCCCACCCCCCUGCCCCCGUAUUUCAUAUACUAGAAGAAGAGCUUCCUUCCUAGCUGGAGGUAAGAGAGUAAUGAACUACACAGAUUACGAAAUGGAGAUGCCGAGGAAACCCUAAAGGCUAUGGCCCAGAUGGCACCAUAGCACAGAUACACAGUAUUAUCGGUGGCAAAGUCCCAGCUAAGCACAGGCAUCAAAGCCUAAGAUAAAAAAUCAGGUGAGGAGGAAACUAGAGGAGUCAGAUAACAGCUCUUUGUAUACAUGGAAAACUUUUCUUGGUGGCAGUUACUUACCCAGCAUCCCUAAGGAUGAAUGUGCAAAGGACACCCAGCUUGUGGAACAUAGAUUUUCUGGUUUGGGAAAUAAUUUUCAAAACAAAGAUCACUAGCGUAUUCCCUCUUUGAGCCUUAUCCCAUCCCCAGGCCAUAGAGGGUCCUAGGUACAUUGGAGUUCAGGGGUGAGGUAAAGAUCAGUAAUGGGGCGAGAACAUUUGUGGUGCAUAUUACUUGGUAAUUCUAUGAAGGAAAAGUUGGGUGGUUUUAGGCCUUCAUCAAAAUGACCUAAUACUAAUAACAUGCAAUAAUUAUUCCUCCAGUUCAGUGUGGAUUUUUAAAGAUUAGGUUUGCAUUGUCUUAUAACUCAACCCUUCCCCAUUUAAGAUACCAAAACCAGUGUUCUAAAAAUCCAUUACUUUGCAACAUGAUCUAUAUUAAAAUUUUAGCAAUUAUCCUUUUAGGGUUGAAGGAAGGAUAACCGGUGAUUUUAUUUUCUUACUCUGUGUCUUCCAAACUUUCUAAAGUCAACAGCUAUUGUCUAUUAGAAAACCCUCAACUAUAGAAAGUAAUUUCUUCCAACAUUUUCAUGCUUCAUCUCAUUUCACUAUUUUCUUCUUAAAUCAUUUUCCUAGUAUUUCUCACCUCGAAGUGUGUGGCUAUAAUAACUUUUGCCUAGUCAGCACUGCCUUCUAAAAUCUGAUUUUUAUAAUUGAAUAGUUUUCCGUCAAGGGCUUUCAAUAUUAGCUAAAGCUCUAUUUUUGAAGCAAACAUUUAUUUACUUCUAGAAGAACCCCAAACAUGUGAAAUAAAUCUGAGAUUAUGGCGGAA